RNAcentral lists this microRNA precursor (129 nucleotides) under Pelobates cultripes (western spadefoot toad). Lineage: Eukaryota; Metazoa; Chordata; Amphibia; Anura; Pelobatidae. The record is from RNAcentral.
GUGUGUGUGUGUGUGUGUGUAUUUAGCAGUCUGUGUGUGUAUUCAGCAGACUGUGUACUCAGCUGUCUGUGUGUGUGUAUUCAACAGUCUGCUAAAUACAGACAGACUGCUAAGUACACAGACAGACUG